AAGUAAAGUCGUAACAGGUUUCGUAUGAACCUGCGGAAGAUCAUUAAAAAUGAGACCUCGAUUUUGAAGGUCUAUUAAUAAUCUACCUUUGUGAAUUUGUUUGUUUAUUAUGUGUCUUUCCUGUUUUGAAGCUUGUUUAACAAAUCAAUCCAGGAAUGGCAAAACUUUUUUUAAAUUAAACUUUUGUAUUCAUUUGUCUAAAAUUAUUUUUAUAAUAUAAAAACAACUUUUGACAAUGGAUCUCUUGUUCUCGCAACGAUGAAGAACGCAGCAAAAGCGAUAAGUAGUGUGAAUUGCAGAAUACGUGAAUCAUCGAAUCUUCGAACGCAUAUUGCACUUUUUUGGUUACAAAAAAGUAUGUCUGUUGAGUAUCAGUAAAUAUUCUCAUAAAAACUAUUUGUUUUAUGGUUAUGAGUUUUACAACGAUAAACAAGUUGUUUCACUUAAUUCUUGUCUUUUAAAAAAUCAUUAAAAACUGAUUUUUUUAAAUGGAUAAAAUUUCCCGUAAAAAGGAAUAACCUAACAAUUUAAAUUAAAUUGUUUGAUUUCUUUUAAGAUCAAAGAAAAAAAGUAAAAUUAACUUAUCUCAAAUCAAUAAGAGUACCGCUGAACUUAAGCAUAUCAAUAACGGAGAAAAGAACUAACAAGAUUCCCUUAGUAACGGCGAGUGAAGCGGAAGAGCUCAAUUUGAAAUCUUCAAGGUUACCUUGACGAAUUGUAGUUAAAGAAGUGUUUCUGUUGAGUUUUGGUAAAAGUCUUGGAAUAGGACAUCAUAGAGGUGAGAAUCCGUAUUUGACCAUUAUUCCACUUGUGAUACACUUUCAAAGAGUCGGAUUGUUUGGGAAUGCGUCCAAAAUGGUGUAAAUUCAUCUAAAGCUAAAUUGGCGAGAGACCGUAGCGAACAAGUACCGUGAGGAAAGAUGAAAAGAACUUGAAAAGAGAGUUAACAGUACGUGAAAUUGUCAAAGGGAAGCGUUUGACACCAGUGUUGUUUUCUCGAAAUCAAUUAAAAAGAUGGAUUUUGUUGUAUGACUUUAUCAGCUUUCUGCACUUUUUUCUUAUUUUUUAAUGCACUUCGUUAACAAUCAACAUCAAUUCUUUGUUGUAAAAGAGUCAUUGGAAGGUGGCUUUUUUCGGAAAAGUGUUAUAGCUUUGGCUUCUGCAAUCGGAGAGAUUGAGGUCUGCAGCGUAAUCUUCGGGUAGAUACUUGUGCUAGUUAGCUUCAUAGACAUUUUGAUAUACAUCAUGUGCUUACUCGCUUAUGCUAUUUUACCUACCUUAGGAUUUGA
RNAcentral lists this unclassified non-coding RNA (1289 nucleotides) under uncultured Neocallimastigales. Its description in RNAcentral is "partial contains small subunit ribosomal RNA, internal transcribed spacer 1, 5.8S ribosomal RNA, internal transcribed spacer 2, and large subunit ribosomal RNA". The stretch from base 582 to 1289 matches the Rfam family "Eukaryotic large subunit ribosomal RNA", at positions 1 to 628 of the family's 3401-position model. The record is from RNAcentral. Lineage: Eukaryota; Fungi; Neocallimastigomycota; Neocallimastigomycetes; Neocallimastigales.